This 416-nucleotide ribosomal RNA is filed under the name uncultured eukaryote. RNAcentral describes it as "bacterial SSU rRNA". It matches the Rfam family "Eukaryotic small subunit ribosomal RNA", at positions 1247 to 1674 of the family's 1831-position model. The record is from RNAcentral.
ACUGAAGGCUCUUUCUCGAUUCCGUGGAAAGUGGUGCAUGGCCGUUUUUGGUUGGUGGAUCGAUCCGUCUGGUUAAUUCCGUUAACGAACGAGACCUCGGCACUCCGAAUAGCGCGGCGGACGUCGCGGCCUCCGGGCCGUCUUCCGCACGAGCUUCUUAGAGGGACCGUCCCCCGCCGGGGAAGGAGGUGCGAGGCAACGACAGGUCUGUGAUGCCCUUAGAUGUUCUGGGCCGCACGCGCAUUACACUGACGCGUCCAACGGGUGACUCCCGACCCGAAGGGGCCGGGGAAUCCGCAAGGCGCGUCGUGAUGGGGAUUGAACGUUGCAAUUGUUGUUCACGAACGAGGAAUUCCUAGUAGGCGCGGGUCAUCAACCCGCGCCGAUUACGUCCCUGCCCUUUGUACACACCGCCC